GUCAAGGGCGUCCUGUGGGCUUAGUAGGCGUGUUUUGUGGGCGCUUGAUGGCAUGCAUGGCUCAUCCGUACUACGUCGUUGGGCGUCUACAAAAACAUGCUAGUGACGUUUGCGGGGCGGCUGAGGCGAAGGCAGGCGAACGUCAAGGGCGUCCUGUGGGCUUAGUAGGCAUGCUGCGUGGGCACUUGACGGCAUGCGUGGCUUGUCCAUGCUACGCUGCUGGGCGUUUACAAAAACAUGCUCGCGACGUCUACAGGGCGUUUGUGAUGGUGGCAGGCAAACGUCAUGGGCGUCCUAUGGGCUUAGUAGGCGUACUGCGUUGGCGCUUGACGACAUGCAUGGCUUGUCCAUGCUACGCCGCUGGGCGUUUACAAAAACAUGUCAGCGACGUCUGCAGGGCAUUUGAGGCGGUGGCAGGCGGACGUCAUGGGCGUCCUUUGGGCUUAGUAGGCGUGCUACAUGGGCGCUUGACGACAUGCGUGGCUUGUCCGUGCUAUGAUGUUGGGCGUCAACAAAAACAUGCCAGCGACGUCUGCGGGGCAACUGAGGCGAAAGAAGGCGGACGUCAAGGGUGUCCUGUGGGCUUAGUAGGCGUGUUGUGUGGGCGCUUGACGGCAUGGAUGGCUCGUUUGUGCUUCGCCGUUGGGCGCUUACAAAAACACGCCACCGACGCCUGCGGGGAGACCGUGCUCCGCCGAGGGAACUUCUCAAGAUCGGUUUAUACUAGUGUUUGGUGUGGAAACUGCAGUGCUUUCGAACAAGUGGCGAGUUCUAGAGCUCCUGUUACAGCUAACUCUAGGCGUCGCACGCACGGCGCACGUAAGGCCAUGUACGGCCACAGAGCUGACUCUAGAGACCCCGACGAGAGCCUCAGGAAGAGUUAUCUUUUAUGUUUAACAUCCUGCCCAUCUUGGAAUCGGCUUAGCCAAAGGUAGGGUCCAGCUGCUGGAAGAGCACCGCACGUCGCGUGGUGUACGGUGCGCUCUCGGCGGCCCUUGAAAAUCUGGAGACCGAAUGUCGUCCAUGCUGGGUCGUACUCGUAACCGCAUCAGGUCUCCAAGGUGAACAACCUCUAGUCGAUGAAACAAUGUAGGAAAGGGAAGUGUGCAAAGUGGAUCCAUAACUUCGGGAAAAGGAUUUGCUCUGAGGGAUGGACACGUGGAUCCCAGUCCCAAACCCGUUGUUGGACUGCUCGAGCUGCUCCCGCGGCGAGAGCGGGUCGCCGCGUGCCGUAUUGGGGACGGACAAGGGGAAUCCCACUGUUUAAUUAAAACAAAGCAUUGUGAUGGUCCCAAAGGAUGUUUACGCAAUGUGAUUUCUGCCCAGUGCUCUGAAUGUCAAAGUGAAGAAAUUCAACCAUGCGCAGUUAACGGCGGGAGUAACUAUCACUCUCUUAAGGUAGCUAAAUGCCUCGUCAUCAAAUUAGUGACGCGCAUGAAUGGAUUAACGAGAUUCCCUCUGUGCCUGUCUACUAGAGCGGGCUUAGCAGAAUCAGGGGGGAAAGAAGACCCUUUUGAGCUUGACUCUAGUCCGACUUUGUCAAAUGACUUGAGAGGUGUAGUAUAAGUGGGAGCCGAAAGGCGUAAGUGAAAUACCACUACUUUUAGUGUUAUUUUACUUAUUCCGUGAUUCGGAAGCUGGGCACUGCCCCUCAUUUUGGACCCAAGUCUCGCUUUGCGGGCCGAUCCAGGAAGGAGACAUUGUCAGGUGGGGAGUUUUGCUAGGGCGGCACAUCUGUUAAAAGAUAAUGCAGGUGUCCUAAGAUGAGCUCAAUGAGAAAAGAGAUCUCGUGUGUAAGAGAAAGGUAAAAGCUCGUUAUAUUCUAAUUUCCUGUACGAAUACGAACCGUGAUAAUUGGCUUGUGGCAGCCAAGCGUUCACAGUGACGUUGCUUUUUUAUCCUUCGAUGUCGGCUAUUUUGGUCAUUGUGAAGCAUAAUUCACCAAAUGUUUGAUUGUUUACCCACCAAUAGGGAACGUGAGCUGGGUUUAGACCGUCGUGAGACAGGUUAGUUUUACCUUUGAAAAUCCAGUGGAGCGAAGCUACCGUGUGCUGGAUUAUGACUGAACGCCUUUAAAUCAGAAUCCGGACUAGAAGCGACGCAUGCUCCCGCCGUCCGCUUGCCGACCCGCAGUAGGAGCCUAUGGCCCCCAAGGGCACGUGUCGUUGGCUAAGUUGCCGCAACAUAAGUGUCGCAGUGACCGCCUUGAAGUACAAUUUCCAUGGAGCAGCGGGUAGAAUCCUUUGCAGACGACUUAAAUAUGCGACAGGGUAUUGUAUGUGGCAGAGUGGCCUUACUGCCACGAUCCACUGAGAUUCAGCCCUUUGCCGCUCCUAUUCGUCCCCCCCCACACU
RNAcentral lists this ribosomal RNA (2354 nucleotides) under Solanum lycopersicum (tomato). RNAcentral's name for it is "eukaryotic LSU rRNA". The stretch from base 704 to 2341 matches the Rfam family "Eukaryotic large subunit ribosomal RNA". Lineage: Eukaryota; Viridiplantae; Streptophyta; Magnoliopsida; Solanales; Solanaceae. The record is from RNAcentral.